RNAcentral lists this ribosomal RNA (518 nucleotides) under uncultured bacterium. RNAcentral's name for it is "bacterial SSU rRNA". It matches the Rfam family "Bacterial small subunit ribosomal RNA", at positions 29 to 518 of the family's 1533-position model. The record is from RNAcentral.
ACGAACGCUGGCGGCGUGCUUAACACAUGCAAGUCGAACGAGGUGAUUGAAAGCUUGCUUUGAGAACCGAGUGGCAAACGGGUGAGUAACGCGUAGACAACCUGCCGCAAAGAUGGGGACAACAGUCCGAAAGGACUGCUAAUACCGAAUGUUGUCAAGUUUCCGCAUGGGAGCUUGAUUAAAGAUGGCCUCUACUUGUAAGCUAUCGCUUUGCGAUGGGUCUGCGUCUGAUUAGCUAGUUGGUGGGGUAACGGCCCACCAAGGCGACGAUCAGUAGCCGGUCUGAGAGGAUGAACGGCCACAUUGGAACUGAGACACGGUCCAGACUCCUACGGGAGGCAGCAGUGGGGAAUCUUCCGCAAUGGGCGAAAGCCUGACGGAGCAACGCCGCGUGAGUGAAAGAAGGGCUUCGGCUCGUAAAGCUCUGUUGACGGGGACGAAUGUGCGAAAUGCGAAUAGUUUUUCGCAAUGACGGUACCCGUCGAGGAAGCCACGGCUAACUACGUGCCAGCCGCCGC